AGACCCGAAACCCGGUGAUCUAGCCAUGGGCAGGUUGAAGGUUGGGUAACACUAACUGGAGGACCGAACCGACUAAUGUUGAAAAAUUAGCGGAUGACCUGUGGCUGGGGGUGAAAGGCCAAUCAAACCGGGAGAUAGCUGGUUCUCCCCGAAAGCUAUUUAGGUAGCGCCUCGUGAAUUCAUCUCCGGGGGUAGAGCACUGUUUCGGCUAGGGGGCCAUCCCGGCUUACCAACCCGAUGCAAACUGCGAAUACCGGAGAAUGUUAUCACGGGAGACACACGGCGGGUGCUAACGUCCGUCGUGAAGAGGGAAACAACCCAGACCGCCAGCUAAGGUCCCAAAGUCAUGGUUAAGUGGGAAACGAUGUGGGAAGGCCCAGACAGCCAGGAUGUUGGCUUAGAAGCAGCCAUCAUUUAAAGAAAGCGUAAUAGCUCACUGGUCGAGUCGGCCUGCGCGGAAGAUGUAACGGGGCUAAACCAUGCACCGAAGCUGCGGCAGCGACACUCAGGUGUUGUUGGGUAGGGGAGCGUUCUGUAAGU
This 540-nucleotide ribosomal RNA is filed under the name Salmonella enterica subsp. enterica serovar Infantis. Its description in RNAcentral is "partial 23S ribosomal RNA". It matches the Rfam family "Bacterial large subunit ribosomal RNA", at positions 711 to 1248 of the family's 2925-position model. Lineage: Bacteria; Pseudomonadati; Pseudomonadota; Gammaproteobacteria; Enterobacterales; Enterobacteriaceae. RNAcentral also lists the same sequence under 1 other name. The record is from RNAcentral.